UACAGAGGUCUCAAGCGUUGUUCGGAUUCAUUGGGCGUAAAGGGUGCGUAGGUGGCGCCGUAAGUCGGGUGUGAAAUUUCGGAGCUUAACUCCAGAACUGCCUUCGAUACUGGAGAGCUUGAGUCCGGGAGAGGUGAGUGGAACUGCGAGUGUAGAGGUGAAAUUCGUAGAUAUUCGCAAGAACACCAGUGGCGAAGGCGGCUCACUGGCCCGGUACUGACGCUGAGGUGCGAAAGCGUGGGGAGCAAACAGG
Molecule: ribosomal RNA, 253 nt
Filed under: uncultured bacterium
Lineage: Bacteria
Description: partial 16S ribosomal RNA
Rfam family: Bacterial small subunit ribosomal RNA
Source: RNAcentral